Bradysia coprophila is the source of this 540-nucleotide long non-coding RNA. Lineage: Eukaryota; Metazoa; Arthropoda; Insecta; Diptera; Sciaridae. The record is from RefSeq and is a predicted model, not a curated record.
UGGUAUCGUGAACUAUACGAUCCACUGAUACCGGAUGAAUUGUAUGACGAAUGUGUCGCUACUGAAGAUCCGGACGAGGUCAAUGCAAUAAUAAAUAAGCUACCGCGCUUGAACAAAUUGGUACUGACAUUCUAGUUCAUUAUUUGCAACAAUUUUCUCAGCCUGAUAUUGUCGUUGCACAAAAUGGAUUCAUCCAAUUUAGCCAUGGUAUUUGCACCGAAUUGUUUGCGCUGUACAUCUCACGAUCCGAAAGUGAUUUUGGAGAAUGCACGCAAAGAGAUGGCAUUUAUGCGAACACUCAUUACCAAUAUGGACACAUCGAGCGUUUCUAAUUUAGUUUAGGUAGGUUUAGGAAAUGAUUUCAAGAGAACAAAAUAAUAAAAGGGAGGAGAAGAAUGGAUGAAGAAAAAACGAUGAAAAGCGGGAGGUUAUAAUAUGAUACACAGCAGAUACUUAAAGAAAAUAAACAGAAAAAAAACCAUACAAAACAGAGUCAUGAAUUUGAACAACUUAAAUAGACAAAUAAAGUAAAAUAAAUAA